This 503-nucleotide ribosomal RNA is filed under the name uncultured bacterium. Its description in RNAcentral is "partial 16S ribosomal RNA". It matches the Rfam family "Bacterial small subunit ribosomal RNA", at positions 30 to 523 of the family's 1533-position model. The record is from RNAcentral.
AUUGAACGCUGGCGGCAGGCCUAACACAUGCAAGUCGAACGGUAGCACAGAGAGCUUGCUCUCGGGUGACGAGUGGCGGACGGGUGAGUAAUGUCUGGGAAACUGCCCGAUGGAGGGGGAUAACUACUGGAAACGGUAGCUAAUACCGCAUAACGUCGCAAGACCAAAGUGGGGACCUUCGGGCCUCACACCAUCGGAUGUGCCCAGAUGGGAUUAGCUAGUAGGUGGGGUAAUGGCUCACCUAGGCGACGAUCCCUAGCUGGUCUGAGAGGAUGACCAGCCACACUGGAACUGAGACACGGUCCAGACUCCUACGGGAGGCAGCAGUGGGGAAUAUUGCACAAUGGGCGCAAGCCUGAUGCAGCCAUGCCGCGUGUAUGAAGAAGGCCUUCGGGUUGUAAAGUACUUUCAGCGGGGAGGAAGGCGGUGGAGUUAAUAACUUCACCGAUUGACGUUACCCGCAGAAGAAGCACCGGCUAACUCCGUGCCAGCAGCCGCCGUAA